RNAcentral lists this ribosomal RNA (254 nucleotides) under uncultured bacterium. RNAcentral's name for it is "partial 16S ribosomal RNA". It matches the Rfam family "Bacterial small subunit ribosomal RNA", at positions 524 to 776 of the family's 1533-position model. The record is from RNAcentral.
CACGUAGGGGGCAAGCGUUGUCCGGAUUCAUUGGGCGUAAAGAGCUCGUAGGCGGUUCGAUAAGUCGGGUGUGAAACCUCCAGGCUCAACCUAGAGACGCCACCCGAUACUGUCGUGACUAGAGUCCAGUAGGGGAGCGUGGAAUUCCUGGUGUAGCGGUGAAAUGCGCAGAUAUCAGGAGGAACACCAGUGGCGAAGGCGGCGCUCUGGGCUGGAACUGACGCUGAGGAGCGAAAGCGUGGGGAGCGAACAGG